This 710-nucleotide ribosomal RNA is filed under the name uncultured diatom. RNAcentral's name for it is "SSU rRNA". It matches the Rfam family "Eukaryotic small subunit ribosomal RNA", at positions 437 to 1149 of the family's 1831-position model. The record is from RNAcentral. Lineage: Eukaryota; Bacillariophyta.
UAAAUUACCCAAUCCUGACACAGGGAGGUCGUGACAAUAAAUAACAAUGCCGGGCCUUUACAGGUCUGGCAAUUGGAAUGAGAACAAUUUAAAUCCCUUAUCGAGUAUCAAUUGGAGGGCAAGUCUGGUGCCAGCAGCCGCGGUAAUUCCAGCUCCAAUAGCGUAUAUUAAAGUUGUUGCAGUUAAAAAGCUCGUAGUUGGAUUUGUGGUGUGUCCAGUCGGCCUUUGCUCUCUGAGUGGUUGCGCUGCACUGGUCUGCCAUGUUUGGGUGGAAUCUGUGUGGCAUUAAGUUGUCGUGCAGGGGAUGCCCAUCGUUUACUGUGAAAAAAUUAGAGUGUUCAAAGCAGGCUUAUGCCGUUGAAUAUAUUAGCAUGGAAUAAUGAUAUAGGACCUUGGUACUAUUUUGUUGGUUUGCGCACUAAGGUAAUGAUUAAGAGGGACAGUUGGGGGUAUUUGUAUUCCAUUGUCAGAGGUGAAAUUCUUGGAUUUUUGGAAGACAAACUACUGCGAAAGCAUUUACCAAGGAUGUUUUCAUUAAUCAAGAACAAAAGUUAGGGGAUCGAAGAUGAUUAGAUACCAUCGUAGUCUUAACCAUAAACUAUGCCGACAAGGGAUUGGUGGAGUUUCGUUUCGUCUCCAUCAGCACCUUGUGAGAAAUCAUAAGUCUUUGGGUUCCGGGGGGAGUAUGGUCGCAAGGCUGAAAUCCAUAU